ACAGCAAACACUACGUUCCACCUUAACAAUGUCCUUGUUGCUCGUGCUCUAGUGCGCAAUCUUUUUUUGUCCGCCAAUUCACUCGUGACAAUUCAUGCUCCAUCAAAUUUGAUGCUUUGGGUGUUUCUGUCAAGGACCUGCACCUGGAUGCGUGAUUCUUCACUACAAUAGUGGUGGGGAUCUCUACACUAUCACCCCCACACUGCCCACCUGCAGCCUCACCACCUCCGCC
Molecule: long non-coding RNA, 232 nt
Filed under: Sorghum bicolor (sorghum)
Lineage: Eukaryota; Viridiplantae; Streptophyta; Magnoliopsida; Poales; Poaceae
Description: long non-coding RNA (SBIC_LNC018740)
Source: RNAcentral